This 264-nucleotide ribosomal RNA is filed under the name uncultured bacterium. RNAcentral's name for it is "partial 16S ribosomal RNA". It matches the Rfam family "Bacterial small subunit ribosomal RNA", at positions 793 to 1055 of the family's 1533-position model. The record is from RNAcentral.
GUCCACGCCGUAAACGAUGUCGACUAGCCGUUGGGAUCCUUGAGAUCUUAGUGGCGCAGCUAACGCAUUAAGUCGACCGCCUGGGGAGUACGGCCGCAAGGUUAAAACUCAAAUGAAUUGACGGGGGCCCCGCACAAGCGGUGGAGCAUGUGGUUUAAUUCGAAGCAACGCGAAGAACCUUACCUGGCCUUGACAUGCUGAGAACUUUCCAGAGAUGGAUUGAUGCCUUCGGGAACUCAGACACAGGUGCUGCAUGGCUGUCGU